Long non-coding RNA from Photinus pyralis (common eastern firefly), 473 nucleotides. RefSeq lists it as uncharacterized. Lineage: Eukaryota; Metazoa; Arthropoda; Insecta; Coleoptera; Lampyridae. The record is from RefSeq and is a predicted model, not a curated record. The transcript has 3 exons.
UUACACUUUUAUCAGAUUUUUAGGUCAACCACCUGAUACCAUAAUACCAGCUAGAAAAUGUAGUAAUUUGAACAUGUUCGUGUGAACCUGCAACUAGUUAGCCUUAAUAUAUACCUACUAAGUACCAGUAUGAGUACUUGUUACUCCACACUUUCAAUGGUCGCAAAGAUCAAAACUGUGUCAAAUUCGUAAAAUUAGUAUAUCGGUGGCAAUAAAAAAAGGUAGAACAUUCCAUUUAGAAAAUUGAUUUCGCGCCGUCCAAGAAGAAUUGCAUAACUGUAACGUGGAAGAAGUAAAUUUGCACCUAUAUUCUAUAACGGAAGACUGUAUUGGACAUCUGUUAUUCUUUGAGAUAACUGCGAGAUGAAUAUCCUUUUUUAAACUAUAGGAUCUAUAGCAGCUUUCAUUUGGGUAUGGAGAACCCAAGUGGCGUUCAAGGCCAAGGAAACACAAUGUCCCUAAUCCGACGCCCC